Helianthus annuus (common sunflower) is the source of this 1200-nucleotide RNA transcript. It is a transcript of the gene named ubiquitin-conjugating enzyme E2 2, with no coding region annotated. The record is from RefSeq and is a predicted model, not a curated record. The transcript is spliced from 6 exons. NCBI's taxonomy places the organism in Eukaryota, Viridiplantae, Streptophyta, Magnoliopsida, Asterales, Asteraceae.
AUACCCCCUGCUUGCGGCCGGGUUUCCACAACUUAGAUCUCUCAAAGGAAACCGUCCGGCCGCCCCUUUCCCUUCUACCUCUCCGCCACCGUAACUCACAAUCACCGCCACCGCUAUCCACCACCAUCUGCCGCCGCCCUCCGCCCAUUUGUUCUACUACAAGGUUUAAUCGUAUAAUUUCUGUCGGAAAUUGGUGGCAUAAAUCAAGCCCAUGGCAACACUAGAAGUUCAUGAAGGAAGAUUCAUCUUCAUGGGCUGGCAAACCAAACCCCAAAUCUCAUUUCAAAUUUCAAACUCAUUUUUCUAUUUCUUCAUUCUCCCUCUCAAAGGGUUUCUGGUCGCAACUCACCACGACUCAAAUUCUCAAAACCAGUCAUUCCAGAUCUGCUUUAUGUGCUCAACUUCUAGAGCGAGAAACUUCAAGAGAGAGAAACCGAUGGACGAGAAGUUGAUACAGUGGCUGGAAUCCGCCGUAGCACGGCUGGAAUCACUCUCUCUUCCUUCACAAUCCCGAUCUAUCGACGUUGAUGCGGUUGCCGCUUCCACGGAUCCAUCAUCAUCGCAUUUGAAGAUCUUUUGACAGAAUUCGUCUGCAAGGUGUUGACUGCUGCGGAGAAGAAUGGAGGACAAGUUAAGGAAGUUACUGAUCUGCUUAAUGAGGCGUUUUCUGUUCAGAAGGAGCUUCUGGUUAAGAUUAAGCAGACUAAGGUACAUUCAAGCUGACUCUUCAGUUUUCAGAAGAUUAUCAAAAUAAGCCACCAACAGUGCGUUUCAUUUCUUGAAUGUUCCAUCCAAACAUUUAUGCAGAUGGAAGCAUAUGCUUGGACAUCCUUCAAAAUCAAUGGAGUCCAAUUUAUGAUGUUGCUGCUAUUCUGACCUCAAUUCAGUCAUUGCUCUGUGAUCCAAACCCAAACUCGCCAACGUACUCAGAAGCAGCACGGUUAUUUAGUGAGAAUAAGCGCGAGUAUAACAGAAAAGUGAGAGAAGUUGUUGAGCAGAGCUGGACUGCCGACUAGACUAAGAUAACGGUGCUCGGGUUUAUGUCUCCUCUACUUGUGCAUUAUAUUCGUGAUCUGAGAACCGCUUAUAACAGUAAUAACGCGUGUUGUGGAAACUCUGUUGGUUUGAAAGUCCUAAACGAACAGUAAUAAUGACAGUUAAUCUAUUUCUAAAUGAAUAUUAAAGUGGAGUUUGUUGUUC